RNAcentral lists this transfer RNA (91 nucleotides) under Caenorhabditis brenneri. RNAcentral describes it as "tRNA-Phe (GAA) (tRNA-Phe-GAA-5-1)". It matches the Rfam family "tRNA". From Rfam's summary of the family: Transfer RNA (tRNA) molecules are approximately 80 nucleotides in length. Lineage: Eukaryota; Metazoa; Nematoda; Chromadorea; Rhabditida; Rhabditidae. The record is from Rfam by way of RNAcentral.
GCCUCGAUAGCUCAGUUGGGAGAGCGUUAGACUGAAGAUCUAAGAUGAAGAUCCUUUAUAAAGGUCACCAGUUCGAUCCUGGUUCGGGGCA